This 611-nucleotide long non-coding RNA is filed under the name Bos taurus (domestic cattle). RNAcentral describes it as "long non-coding RNA NONBTAT019273". The record is from RNAcentral. Lineage: Eukaryota; Metazoa; Chordata; Mammalia; Artiodactyla; Bovidae.
UUGGGGCUGUGUUAAUUUUUAAGCUGAUGCUACCUCAGGGGCUGCAGAUGCAGAAGAAGCAGAUAGAGGGAAAGAAUGGCUCAUGACUCAAGGAGGGCUUUGUGGGCUGGCAGUGAUACAGGGAAAGGAGAAAUUAUGUCAAACUGCAUUUAACCAAGAAAAUUUGUAAAUACAUUUUUCUGCCUGAGAAUGAGUACACAGUUUGAGGAAGAGCACGUUCAUUUCUUUAUCUUCAGAAUUAAAUUGAGUGCUCAAAAAAAAGCCUAUGAGCUGCAAUUUGACGAAACAAAGAUUAUACCUUUAAACCAACGAGGUGUGGAAGUAGUUUUAAAUAAGGAGAAAGAUAGCAAUCUUAUUCCAGUGAAUCUUGGCCCAUGGGAUGGAAGAAGCUCAUGACUGUAUCUUGGAAAGGAGUAUUUCUGACUAAAUUCUGAGAAGAAAUGCAUGGCUACUGGGUUAGCCAUGUACUGCUAUGACCAAGUUAAAAAAAAAAAUCAAAAUCCAAAAACAAGAAUAUUUUUUGGUAAGAAGUGGGGAAACAUGAGACUGUGGACUCAAAUGUGCUUGUGUUUGUGGAAAGAAACACUGCAGGGAUGCAAGAUGGGAGGGAG